UCAACAGUACGAUGCCGUGUCCGUUGAGGAGGGCCUUCCUCACGGCGCGAUGCCCGUGUCCGCUGAGAGAGGCCUCUCUCGCGGCGCGAUGCCAGUAUGCCAGUAUGCCAGUGUUACAGCGUCUAUUGGGGGAGGCCUCCCUCAAUAGUACGAUGCCGUGACCGCUGAGGGAGGCCCCCUUCACGGCGCGAUGCCCGUGUUCGUUGGAAAAGGCCUUCUCCACGACACGAUGCGUGUUUAUGAUUGUUAAUGACGAAGAAUGCCCUUAUGCUAUUUAUGAAUUUGGAAAUGUUUAAUGAGUAAAGGAUAUGAAAGAAACUCAUGCCUCUUAUGCGAUAUUGUAAAAUUUUUAAUGAUGUUAUGUUAUAUGCUUGGCAACUGCCCACUAAGUACUUUUGUACUUAGCCCUUCGAUGUUUAUGAUUGUGCAGGUUGAGCUGUGAUGGGCGAUGAAGUAUUGCUGAGUGGAGUUUUUGUCGAACUUAAAGUAGGCUCAGAAAGGAUACAUGUCUUCAUACAUGUAUCUCAGUUAUGCUUUCCGCUGUAAACCCUGAUUAUUUCAGUUACGCCUUCCGUUGCAAACUCUGAUAAUGUUUUAGCCAAGCCCCUAACGAUGCCUUUUUUCUUUUUAAGGAAUAUUUCACGCGUAUUCAAGCUUUUUGAGUAUUCUUUUAUGCGCCCCUUUCUAAACCCGCUUCUUAAUUUCCCUUCCCCAGUCAUGGUUUUCCCGGAUUAAUUAUCCUUAAUUAAGGCCGGUCGUGACAG
RNAcentral lists this long non-coding RNA (764 nucleotides) under Salvia miltiorrhiza (redroot sage). RNAcentral describes it as "long non-coding RNA (SMIL_LNC003376)". The record is from RNAcentral. Lineage: Eukaryota; Viridiplantae; Streptophyta; Magnoliopsida; Lamiales; Lamiaceae.